Molecule: long non-coding RNA, 409 nt
Organism: Centruroides sculpturatus (bark scorpion)
Lineage: Eukaryota; Metazoa; Arthropoda; Arachnida; Scorpiones; Buthidae
Exons: 2
Source: RefSeq, a predicted model, not a curated record
CGCGGCGAAAAACGUUUAUUACAUAAAUCUGAAGGCUGUUAAUAGUGAAGUUUACGACCGUUAGAAGCUUAUUUCAAAUUUAUAUAAGAAAUAUGGAAAAGGAAGGAGAGAAGAAGGAAUCGGCGGUACCUUGGAAAUGCUGGCCACGUGGUUGCAGACGUCCGGAAAUUCACGAAUUAUCGUUUUAUAAGUUUUUUCAAUGUGGAUAUCAAUUAUUUCCUCCUCCAAAGCUCAAAUCAGAAAAAUAAUUAUCUUUUCAAAGAUAAUUGCCUGUAAUAGGAAUUAUAGAAGUGACAAAUAUCUCCCGACGUGAAAUUUAAAUGAUGUAAUAUUGAGCAUUUGCAUUAUUAUCCGUUUAUGUUAACAAUUUUUGAUAAAUAAUAUUAAAAUGUUAAUUAUUUUUUUGUAA